Long non-coding RNA from Corvus hawaiiensis (hawaiian crow), 7846 nucleotides. RefSeq lists it as uncharacterized. The record is from RefSeq and is a predicted model, not a curated record. Lineage: Eukaryota; Metazoa; Chordata; Aves; Passeriformes; Corvidae. The transcript is spliced from 2 exons.
UCACGUGAGGGUGGCCACGUGAGCGCGCGCCUGAGGGCGGCAGCCAGGGCGGGGCCGCGAAGUUACCUCAGCGCUCCGCCAGCCGGGUUCGGGCUCUCGGUGUAGCACCUCACUAAAAUCCCUUGGCACUCGCCUCCCUGCCUUCAUCAUAUGAGGGGCUUUAGCCGUCAAUAAACGUCUAGCUUGUUUUCGCCCAUCGUAAUCGAUGCAGAAUGAGGGAGUCUUUCCCCCCACAUGAAUAAACAAGCAAUUGGGGCUGUGGCUGUAGACUCAGCGAAUGACAUCGUCCCCACAGUGGGCAUCUCGGGCCCCACAUCACGCCUGACAAUCAGCUGCAGCUGAUACAGAGAAACAUGGUGAGGACAGAGGGAUCCCAGUGUGUUACCGUGAGGAUGUUGGGCUGAUUCCAUUCUGCUUCAAGAAAGGGCUUGUAGCUAUCCCUCCUGUGCAUGAGCACCCGUGUACUCCCCAUCCUAAUCCUUGCUGAGGAGCUCCAUUUCGGAAGGAAUCCAACACCAACCCCACCUCCUUCCUGCCACCUCUUUGCAGUUCUGGGCGUCAAUCUGCAUACGCUGAUCGUAUCUGGCUGUGCUGCCACCUCCCGAGAGAAAGCAGCAUCCCGGCUUCUGCUCAGAGGAAAGGAAACGUUCCACAGCCAGGCUCCCAGCCUGCACGGAGGGCCCCGGGGAAGCCAGGACUCUCCACACCGCCUGCAGCCGGCGGAGGCAAGACGUGGGCCCGAGAGUCGCCACACCUCCAGGUCAGCUGCAGUCUGAGCACCUCAGUUACUAACAAGGUUGAAGAAGCAGGAGGGUGAGACUGCCCAUAGCAACUGAGAAAAAAAAGGCAUACACAGGGAAGAGUGAUGGCUUGGAAGAGAGGAAGAAUCUUUAACCUGAGCUGGGAUCCCAAUGAGAUGUGAGAGGCAGGCUAGGAUUGUAAUUGGAAGAGAGGACAAGCCUUUCAGAGGGUAACUAACAGGAAAGCAGUAGCAAAGGAGUGAUGAUUGUUAACCUGAAUAACCCAGAAGAACUGCAUGAUGUGACAAGAGGCUAUGGGAUAGUCCAAGUGCAGGAGAUGCACCAUUUGAGUAUCAGGUCACAGUCUGGAUCAAUUUCAUUGCUCAAACAAGAGUUUUCAAAGUGCCUUUUAUCCAUUUAAGGAGGAUACAAAAAAGAAAAAAGGAUAAUGUUAUGAUAACUCAAUAGAAGUAGUUAUAUUCAUUUACUACUGCAUGUAAGCAACACUGGAAGAUCUGCCAGGCUAAUUAGCAGUAGCCAGAAAAAACCACAAGAGUAACCAAGGUAGUAACACAAGCUUGCCUGCAUGUAAAUCAAUAAACUCCUACUGAUUUGGGAAAUCCAUGAACCUUCAGAAACAUGAGGGGAGGCAGUUCCAGACUGCUGCGUGGGAGACACUAAAACACUGUUUACAGAUAUUCUUAUCUACAGUUUUUCCCUCACAGUCUUGAAUGUGGGAGAGAGUCAUACAGAGGGAAUAAGCACUAAAAUCAGACCAAAAAAAAAUUCAGAAAAGAGAGGUCUGGAAGCUACCUCCACUGAGUCAAAGAUUUUGAUGAUUUUUGAAAAGGUGACAACCACUGAGCUGUAGCUUUGCAUUUGACUUACAUAUUAAUUCUUUAUUCUUUUCCCAAGAAAUAUAGUAUGCCAAAAUUCCUCCAAAGAUCUCUUGAUGGAAUCAAGUUCCUAACUGCAGGUUCUGCUCAAUAAGACACAAUUCAUUAGCCUUUGCCAUCCUUCUUUGUCACAAUAGGAAAGAUGCUGCUGUUGGUUAAAGCAUCUUGUUGUAGUCCCUGGUAGUCAUAGCAAAGGUACCAUUUGACAAUUGAAAACUGUAAAGAUCCAAGUUUUUCUGUCACUUUUUUGGUGGGUUUUGUUAUUACUCUUGGUUUUAUUUGGUUUUAGGCAGGGGGAUGUUGAAGGGAGUUCAGAUGUGAUUUCAGGGAAAAAAAAUUGAGCUGAUUUUAUACCAUUUCUUCUUAGAAAGACACAAAGGAAUGGGAAAAAAAUAGCUGGCCUAACGACAUGGCAAUUUCUUGUACAAAAACUAUAUGGAUAUUACAAAAAAGCCAAGAGUGAGGGAGCCAUCAAUCCUCUGCCUCCCAUACCAGCAGGAACAAAAAGUUGUGGUACCUAACUCAGACAGUCUUCAGAAGGCAGGAUUUAAAGUAUUUCUGGCAUUUAACCACUUUCUGUUAUGAAUGCCUAGAUAAAGACAAUAUACUGAGGUUAGCCUUGCUUUGGACUUCACUGUAAAGUUCAUUACAGCAUCUAGGUCAGCAAAUCCCACAGGAGAUGGUCUCUCUGCCAGUUCUAUACUGAACAUACCUUGAAUGUAUCUUGCUGUGUUAAACACCAUUUCCUUUAAUUUCCAAACUCAGCACAACUGGAUCUCCAGAACAUCAGUGGAAAGAAGGACAAUUUGUGACAGCGAGCUUUCAUUGAUCAGAACAGAGAAGCUCCCCAAUUCUGACCGCUGCAGGAAAUGCAGAAAAUAGGAGCAAGCAGAGAAGCAAGUGUGAGUGCAGAGCCUACUGCUUUGGUAAUUUUUACUUUUGGUAAUUUUUGCUUUUGGUAAUUUACCACUGCAAAGUGACAUUGUCCCUUCUUCUCUCCCCUCCAGUCAUGGUGGGGUUUUUGUGGUUUUUUUCUUUCUCCUUCUGCUCACCACAUUCAUAAUUUUAUUACUCAACUCAGUUUAAGGAUUCACUGACCUGUGCUAGGAGAAACAGGAAAGACCCAUAAUCUAGCACUAGGAACACACUCCCACUCACCUGCAGUCAACAAGACUUUAAAAAAUAAAAGAAUAGAACAAGAUGCAACAGCUUUGGGGAGGUUUCAGCAAUACACAUAGAAAGUUCUAUGAGUUUACUCCACUUGGUACCAAGGAUUUAAUUCCUUUACCUCAACAUAUAGAAAUACUCAUGAGUUUCCAUGGAAGAGCCUUAUGUUCGAGUUCAUUCACAUCCCACAACCUUUUGCGAGUCUGCAACCAUUCAAGAUAAUCACUUGCACAGGUUUGAAUAGGAAUAUUUUAAGUAAUUUUGAGGAACCAGGAAAGCUGGAAAGAGGCCAGAAAUCUACCACUACCAUACACAUCCAAACCAUCAGCCAUCACCACCAGACCCUUUUGAAUCCCUGGAGGAGAAAAAACAAGGCCCAAUCUCUUACGUCCCUUUGUUCAUAGGAGAACCUACCUUUUAGAUAUUUAGAUAUUUGGAAUUUAGAUAAUUCUCUCCUGCUGGGGUUUGGACUGGCAAAGAGAGCUCCCAAAUGUCCAUCAAACAGCAAUCUUCAGUUAGAUAGGGGUGCGAAACUGAGGAAGAGCCCUUAAAACUCUUCUUUCAUACAGCAAAACCGUCAAAAUAAUUAAAACAUUUUGGAGAGUAUAAGGAAAACUGUUCACUUACUUUCCUCAGUUCUAGGACAGGGGAAAAUGGAGCAGAUGACAAUUUAUCUGGAUAAGAAUGCGUAGGAGAGGUUGAGAUAGCCUCCAGAAGUUCAGGAGUGCAACUUGCAUUCCCAUGUUAUUGGAUUAAUAAUUAAAGUAGUUGCUUAUACUAAACCAGUUUUCCCUCAAUUUACUGGGCUAUUUCCUUCUAUUUAUUUCUUUCACCCCUGUUUUCUCUCACAGCCUGUUUUAUUGUAUGAUUUUAUGAUUGUCAGUGAUUUUAAACUCAGUCAUUAAAACCCAGGUUUACAGGUUUGCUGAAAUGUAGAAAUUAUCAGGUAAUCUUUCCCUUCUACAAAUACCCAUUUUAUUCCAUCUUAUUUGCAUUACCAAUCAAUAUGGAGUGAAGUUCAUUUUGCAUCUCCCAUUUCUUUGCUCUGAGAACAAAAUCUUUGAAAUCUCCCUGUAGACUUAAGGGCUGUUAAGAUCAAGGGGCUUCUCUGCAGUCCUGCAAAGGUCUUCAGUGAUGUUUUAGGAGAGAGGAGUAAUCUACACCACGAAAACACCAAGCUCCUGCAAAGGUAAACUGAAGGUUGAAAACCUUGGAUAUCCUAAUCCCUAGCAAACAUGAACUAGAGGGGAUUUCCUUUAAACUCACUUUGGAUCUUUUAAACCCAUGAGAUAUGGGGGAGGCUUCCUCCUGCCAGAAUCUGGCACUUCUGCCUUGUUCGUUACAGUUACAGCUGCCAAGAGAAAAGAGUAAAAAACAACCAUCAUUUGACAGUGAACAGGUUUACAAACACAGCUUUUGGCUGAACCUUGGAUGUUUGUUUGGAAGCUUUUUACUGUGCUUUAUAGUCAUUCCUCCUUUCCUGACAGGGAUGAACAGCUUUCACUCCAUUAACUGUAUCUCCCUUGGGUUCUCUGUUCAAGUUAGAAAGAAAGUUCUUGAAGAACUUGGAGGGCACAUUUGGGACUCGUGUACAACACAACAGUGGUUUGUUUGCAGCGGCUUAAUUUAAAUUGGAUUUCACAUCAAUUCCUUGAACAGCUGAGGAACCCUGUGUGGACACACUUAUUUGCCUUAAGAGUUGUCUAAAAUCAGUUCCUAAUCAAUUUAAACUCCACUGAUCAGAUUUAAAUGUAUACUUAAAAGGUCAACACAACCUUUUGAAUUGAUUUAGUGAAAUGAUAUUGAAAGCAAUGCUUGAGUAAACUGGUGCAACUCUCUGUAAAAGCUGUCUGAAUUAGCGUAAUAUGGAUUGUCAAAAAAUGGAGAAACAUCUCUCCCCCUUGAAGUUUGCAAAUUCAAUCUCUUGAUUGAAUGCUAGCAAGAUAGAGGCUGAUGGAUCUCUCCCCUGAUGGAGCCUCAUAUUGAUUUUAUCAUUAGAUAUACAAAACAAAUGCCUAAUUCAGUAAUAGGCACGUUUUAUGCCUUCCUUUAACAGUGUUGAUCUAAACACUACAUAUAUACACUUUAGCUCAAAAUCACAUAUAUUCCUUCUUCAAUAGGAAAUUUCAAAAUUCAGGAAUGUUUUUGAAAUCAUGAUCUUUAAAAGAUUAGAAUCUAGGAAGAUAGGACCUAUGAAAAAAUUUAGAGAAAUAACAGCAUGAAAGAAUCACUUAUGUCAGGAGCCUAUUUCACUCUUUAACAGGUGCAGAUAUCCAUCAUAAAUUAAGCCUCAUUUGUGCUGAGUGGUUGAAUUGCUGAGGAAUCAGUUUAUUGGUAUGUGAAAUAUUUACUAUGUAUAGCUGGACAGAUACCCAGGAAUUCUGAUGAAGCCCAUUAAUGCAUAAGAGAGAACAUCCUUUCCUUGUAAGACUUGAGAAAUCAUAAGCUUUGCUCCUCUCAGUAUCUUAUACAGACCUUUUAAAAACUAUCCGACUUGUCCAUAGAAAUGUAUCUAGAAUAACUAUUAAGAAGGUCUUUUUUGGUAGAAAAUGUUCUCUCUCUUCAGGAGAGCUGCUGUUAUAGACGUUAAUAUCCAAAAUAAAACCCGCUUUUAUUUAAAUUACAUUUUUUUGCCCCCUGUGUAGAAAUUGCCUUUUUCUUAUAGAAAGGUGAGAAACCACAUGUUACUUUGAACAAUUUCAGAUGCCCAAAAGAGAAGAGUGAUACUGGGAUCACUUCAAAAAAUGCAUUAACUUAGAAGUCAAUAACUAACAUUUGGCUGGGAAUUAUUUGCAUGUGUUCUUUGAAUAAGGAGCGCCAUUUACUGUGGAUUUCUAUAUCUGUGGAACAACGAAAAUAAUGGUACAAAGGUAGAAGACACUUCUAUUUGCUAUCUAAAAGUUUUGGGUUCCCACCUGUAAUAUGAGAUCUGGGUUUGCUAUCUAGAAUAAUUGAUCUUCACGACAAAUACAAGCAAGUUAAGCUCUUAGAGUGUUACAAUAUGCAAGGAAAAAAAGACAUCAACAGCAGGUUUACACAGACAAGAAAUGUUUCAAACAAGUGUAGGCCACGUUCAUUGCAGCUGGGGAGCCACAUAAAAAACCCAACCAAAAUUAAGACAGCAGUAAGAGCCGGUAUGAACUGUGCUAUAUUAAAAAGCUAAUACUGAGAGCCAUGAAAGCUCAAGAGUUUACACGAGCAACCUAUAAAAUGCUAAUGUAACUAACACCAGGGAACUCUGCAGAAACCAUCCCUCUGCAAAUUCAAAAGUCUAUUAAAAAAAAAUCAAAUUAUUUCCAGGACAAGAAAUAAUACAUGUAUACAAAUUUGCAAAGUUAAAUUUUUUAGUCUCUUCAUAAUGUACAGGCAUAUGCCACCAAGAUAUACAUAUAAUUUUCAAGAAUAUGUUUCUCUGAGAUGGAAGUGAGUCCUCUGUCCCACCUGAUAAAAACUGCCUCUAAGUUCAGGGAGUCUGAACAUGAGUAGUACAAAUGUCAUUCCAUCCUCUAAACCUUGUGGCUAUGCAGUGGUCUGCUCACACAUCUGAAGGACUACUAUAGAAUGGCUGUGAACAAUAUGAUUUUUUAACAGAUUGUUGUCGCAGUAUUUUGCAUGCUUUGUUCAUAUUACAUGGAAAAGAGUAGGUGUGCAAGGCAGAGUAUGUAUCUGUGUGCUGGCUUUGAAUUUACAUUGAGGACAUUUCAACUUCUGAAUGGUCAGAGAAAGAGUGUAUACAAAAAGGCAACAAUUUUUUUUUCUUUUUUUUUAAUUUACCAUGAGGCACAGAAAACAGAUGGAAAGCCGUCAAGGGUCAAAUCUUCCCUUUUUUCCCAAGAAGAUACAAACUGGCCAUGUAACAAAGGGAUGAAGUGUUUCUCCAUGAACACCGCACGCAUUAGGCUAAACCCAUCGCACUAGUUAAUUUUAACUAAAAUUGCAGAAUAAAUGAAGAAAGCAUACUUUUAUUGUAACCUUGAGCAUUUUAAUUAAAAAAGGAAUUGUGGCUUCUGCCAUGAGCACUAGCACAUUCAUAGAGACGUGCAAGAAAGACCUUGCAUUCUCACAAAACAGACAUUUCCUUCUGCCUCACAGGCAAAAGCUCAUAGGGAGCCUAUUGCCCCAUUACACCCAACCACCACAGCCACAGCCACUCUCACAUGGAGAGUGAUCCUUCCAGUAAAGGGGCAGCUGGGAGAAAUUUUUUCUGUUAUUUGAAUGCAUCAUUAAUACUUAAUGUUUCAAAUACUUGUUAGAGUAUGACAGAGAACAUCAGUCACUUCCAUCAAGACUGGAAUUCAUGGGAGCAAAAGUCCUUUACUACAACUAAAACAUUGCUGGGAUAACACUGGGAACACUUGUUCCUAUUUCCACAGGCUCAGCAAUACUUCAGCUGGCCUUUUUAUGAAGACCAGCUGAGGGUAUGAUACGUAAUAGCAGCCCGUACAGAAAUCCCACUUCCAGUCAGAGACUGGAACAUGCCAGUUCAAGACUAGUCUAAUCUCUACUUGGGAGAUUUUACACCUGGGAGCAGUGAAAAGAAUGCUUUAAAAAUAUUAUAUAUUAAACAGCUACAAAACUCAUUGCAAUUCAUAUUGUUAACUUUUGUUAAUCAGUUCAUCUUCUGCAUAAAAAAAGCUAGAAAUAAAGAAUUGACUUCUUCCUUGCCCAGAUUUUUAUAAUAAAAAACGUUUUUAAUCUUCUGGUUUAUGUAACUAUUUCAAAGUUGGUGGAAGAGGAUAUGAUAUCUGCAACAAGUAUAAAUUUCAAGAAUGCUUCUAUUUUGCCAUAAAAUAAUACUCUAUUGAAAAAAUAAUACACUUAAUAAAGAAGCUAAGGCAAAUUGUUGUUCCUUGACGCUGGUGACCUCUGAAACUUCCUGAAACAGAUUAAAUAUUAUCAUCAGUCCAGCCACCUCCAGAUAAAAUGAAAUAAUGAUUUGUGUGCAAGCAGGUUACAAGAGACUGAAUGGAAGAGCCCAAAAAGAGAGCAAAAUAAUUACAUGACUGGCUUGAGAAGAUAGAGGAAAUAAUGAAUUCAUAACAA